AUUGAACGCUGGCGGCAGGCCUAACACAUGCAAGUCGAGCGGAUGAAGGGAGCUUGCUCCUGGAUUCAGCGGCGGACGGGUGAGUAAUGCCUAGGAAUCUGCCUGGUCGUGGGGGAUAACGUCCGGAAACGGGCGCUAAUACCGCAUACGUCCUGAGGGAGAAAGUGGGGGAUCUUCGGACCUCUCGCUAUCAGAUGAGCCUAGGUCGGAUUAGCUAGUUGGUGGGGUAAAGGCCUACCAAGGCGACGAUCCGUAACUGGUCUGAGAGGAUGAUCAGUCACCCUGGAUGUGAGACACGGUCCAGACUCCUACGGGAGGCAGCAGUGGGGAAUAUUGGACGAUGGGCGAAAGCCUGAUCCAGCAAUGCCGCGUGUGUGAAGAAGGUCUUCGGAUUGUAAAGCACUUUAAGUUGGGAGGAAGUGCAGUAAGUUAAUACCUUGCUGUUUUGACGUUACCAACAGAAUAAGCACCGGCUAACUUCGUG
This 484-nucleotide ribosomal RNA is filed under the name uncultured bacterium. RNAcentral's name for it is "partial 16S ribosomal RNA". It matches the Rfam family "Bacterial small subunit ribosomal RNA", at positions 30 to 507 of the family's 1533-position model. The record is from RNAcentral.